ACGCAACUCUGGAGAGUGCUGCAGGUAUGAGCAGCCACCAAAGGGGAAAACCAUUUUAGGUAAACUUUCAGGUGCAAGGACAGAGA
RNAcentral lists this non-coding RNA (86 nucleotides) under Neobacillus jeddahensis. RNAcentral's name for it is "Glycine riboswitch". It matches the Rfam family "Glycine riboswitch aptamer", at positions 9 to 86 of the family's 94-position model. Rfam says of the family: This family represents the bacterial glycine riboswitch. The record is from RNAcentral. Lineage: Bacteria; Bacillati; Bacillota; Bacilli; Caryophanales; Bacillaceae.